GGGAGACUACUUACAACCAGCAAUUCUAAUUCUAAAAGCCCUGAUAAGGUUUCAGCUUCCACUGUUAGCACUACCACUUUUACACCAAUGAUACCAAUUAAACAAACUUCUUUAUCCCUAGCAUAAAAAUAUAGGGACUAAAAAUAAAUCUGUUACAAAAUAUGCAUUUUGUUUAUAUAUAUUUACAUAGACCUCAGAUAUGCAUAUAGGCAGUACCAGAAGGAUAAAGCCAUCUGAUGCAGAAGAUCAGCAAAGCAAUCUGUAGGCUCCACAGGGACCAGAAAAGAAAUAUUUUUAUGGGGGCAAACAACAUUAUGCAAGACAUGCGUGUGCUUUAGUUUGUGAAACAGUUGCAUAAGUUGUGUAUCCAGAGAGACUGGCAGCCGUUGGCCCUGCACACAAAAGAAAAAAUCUCUCCUCUAUGUAUUUAUUAAGAUUUCAAAGCUCAGGGCUACAUCCCUCCUUCUUCAGGAUUUAACUGACUUCUUCUGCCCUUGCACCUCUUCUCUUCUCAAAACACAUGAUGUGUCAGCAAAUGGCCGAAGCAGCAAUCGGCAGAGACUACGUGAAAGGACUGAUCAGCAGGCACUCCUCGUCCCCGUGUUAGGUGGGGGAAGGGAGCAACAUCCGGCUGAUUUAGUGACUGGCUGGGGAAAACCGGCUUUGACUGGGGAAAGGAUCUGUUUGGGGGGGGAGGGAGAAAGGGGAAGGGUUAAGGAAGGAGCAUCUGUCGAGCUGAACAGGCAGUCCUGGAAAAGUGG
This 761-nucleotide long non-coding RNA is filed under the name Corvus moneduloides (New Caledonian crow). RNAcentral describes it as "lncRNA (ENSCMUG00000019789.1)". The record is from RNAcentral. Lineage: Eukaryota; Metazoa; Chordata; Aves; Passeriformes; Corvidae.